RNAcentral lists this ribosomal RNA (449 nucleotides) under uncultured bacterium. Its description in RNAcentral is "bacterial SSU rRNA". It matches the Rfam family "Bacterial small subunit ribosomal RNA", at positions 355 to 796 of the family's 1533-position model. The record is from RNAcentral.
UCGAGAAUCAUUCGCAAUGGGCGCAAGCCUGACGAUGCGACGCCGUGUGUGCGAUGAAGGCCUUCGGGUUGUAAAGCACUUUCGCUUGGGAACAAGAGAAGCUGGCUAACAUCCAGCUGAUUUGAGGGUACCAGGUAAAGAAGCACCGGCUAACUCCGUGCCAGCAGCUGCGGUAAUACGGAGGGUGCAAGCAUUAAUCGGAUUUAUUGGGCGUAAAGGGCGCGUAGGCGGGCAUGUAAGUCAGAUGUGAAAUGCCGGAGCUCAACUCCGGAACAGCAUUUGAAACUGUGUGUCUAGAGGGUAGGGGGAGAAAAUAGAAUUCCACAAGUAGCGGUGAAAUGCGUAGAUAUGUGGAAGAAUACCAGUGGCGAAGGCGAUUUUCUACCUUAUACCUGACGCUGAGGCGCGAAAGCAAGGGGAUCAAACAGGAUUAGAUACCCCCGUAGUCC